Long non-coding RNA from Alexandromys fortis (reed vole), 1410 nucleotides. RefSeq lists it as uncharacterized. The transcript has 3 exons. NCBI's taxonomy places the organism in Eukaryota, Metazoa, Chordata, Mammalia, Rodentia, Cricetidae. The record is from RefSeq and is a predicted model, not a curated record.
CAGGAAUCACCUGGGUGUUUGCAGGGUCGCCUCCCUGCCCAGCCUGCCUCCAGCCCUCCCUCCUUCGCUCUGCCUGCUGCUGCCUUGACGAUAGUUUUUCUGCUGAGGACGUUGUCGUUACUCCCAAACCUGCAGGCUGUCCCCGCCGAUCUCCAGAUGGUCUUAUUUCAUCCAACUCAUUGCAACCGAGCAGUUCCUCCAACAGAGACUUAGCGAACAGAGGCUACCAGCCGACCUUUGUGUCAGGUAGUCGGGCGACCACAGCGGUGAACAGGCAUGCAGGGGAAUCCCACAUCGAGACACAACAGGACAGAUGCACAUGUGAACUCACAGAGACCGCGACAGCACACACAAGACCUGCACAGGUUCAAACAAGACAAAAUCCCAGAGCUGGGAAGCAGAAGUGGACACAAAGCCCCACCUCUAACCAAGAAGCUAUGUGUGAUUUAUACCUGCUGGAAGGAAGAACAGUUUUCUCAAAGGAAGCAUCACUGGGUAGCUGAACCACACUCCAGGGCUCGGGGAUCAUCCCAGAAGAGAGAAGCAGAAGAUUAUAAGAACUAUAGGGGUAGAUGGACGACCACAGGCAAACCAUGUGUCCCAGCACUGAAGGGCAGCUGCACACAUGGACUGACAGCUGUCAUGACAGCAUGCACAAGACCUGUAGAGAACCAACACGGAGGAGGGGAGGUGGUCAUGGAGUCCCAACCCUACCUGAGGAGCUAUUGGCAAAUGGUGACUGCUGGACGGGAAGAGCUUCCAGUACACACAAACAUCCUCUGGAGACCUUAUUGACUGCUCGACUGCACGUCCAUCACUUGGAGACUCAGAGGAGAAAAUGGACAAACACUUGAAAACCAAGCAGAUUGUUGAGUUCACACGUCCUCCAAGGUACAGUGGACAUAAGCUGGUAGUUAAUCUAAGGCAUUUGGUUGAGGACUCACAGGAGCCACACUUGAAUAUAAAAGCUCAAAUAUUGCCAGAGUGAAAAAUUUAUCUGUCCACUCUCGUGGUUUUUAAAAAGCCUUGAGAAGAGCAAAUUGAUCUGGAAAGACCUCAACAGCCUACUAGAAUGAAGAACAAUACUGAAUAAAAUCCAGGAUCCAAUAAAGCAAUGACUACAGUACUCAGUAUCUGGUAAAAAUGGCUGAAGAUGCCAAGGAGAAUGUACUUCGAAGUCCAAAGACAAGUCAGUUGUUAACACAGAUUCAGAAUGACAGACAGACAGACAGACAGACAGACAGACUGUAACUAUAGAUAACAGAGAUAAUGUGAGCCAACUAUGUUUCCAUAUUAAAAAAGCAAGUAUAUAAUGGGAAAAGUGCUUUGGCUCUCUCUACAUUUAUAUACAUUUAUAUUACAUUAUAUUAUAUUAUAUUAUAUUAUAUUAUAUUAUAUUAUAUUAUAUUA